UACGGAAGGCAGCAGUGGGGAAUAUUGCACAAUGGGCGCAAGCCUGAUGCAGCCAUGCCGCGUGUAUGAAGAAGGCCUUCGGGUUGUAAAGUACUUUCAGUCGUGAGGAAGGUGUUAAGGUUAAUAACCUUAGCAAUUGACGUUAGCGACAGAAGAAGCACCGGCUAACUCCGUGCCAGCAGCCGCGGUAAUACGGAGGGUGCGAGCGUUAAUCGGAAUUACUGGGCGUAAAGGGCACGCAGGCGGUUAAUUAAGUUGGAUGUGAAAUCCCCGGGCUUAACCUGGGAAUGGCAUUCAAGCUGGUUAGCUAGAGUCUUGUAGAGGGGGUAGAAUUCCAUGUGUAGCGGUGAAAUGCGUAGAGAUGUGGAGGAAUACCGGUGGCGAAGGCGGCCCCUGGGACAAAGGACUGACGCUCAUGUGCGAAAGCGUGGGGAGCGAAACAGGGAUUAGAUACC
Molecule: ribosomal RNA, 455 nt
Filed under: uncultured bacterium
Lineage: Bacteria
Description: bacterial SSU rRNA
Rfam family: Bacterial small subunit ribosomal RNA
Source: RNAcentral